Molecule: transfer RNA, 75 nt
Filed under: Bacillota bacterium
Lineage: Bacteria; Bacillati; Bacillota
Description: Firmicutes bacterium (anaerobic digester metagenome) tRNA-Val
Rfam family: tRNA
About the family: Transfer RNA (tRNA) molecules are approximately 80 nucleotides in length. Their secondary structure includes four short double-helical elements and three loops (D, anti-codon, and T loops).
Source: RNAcentral
GGGCGAAUAGCUCAGGGGGAGAGCACCUGCCUUACAAGCAGGGGGUCGUAGGUUCAAAUCCUACUUCGCCCACCA